This 460-nucleotide ribosomal RNA is filed under the name uncultured bacterium. Its description in RNAcentral is "partial 16S ribosomal RNA". It matches the Rfam family "Bacterial small subunit ribosomal RNA", at positions 338 to 795 of the family's 1533-position model. The record is from RNAcentral.
CCUACGGGUGGCAGCAGUGAGGAAUAUUGGUCAAUGGACGAGAGUCUGAACCAGCCAAGUAGCGUGAAGGAAGACUGCCCAAUGGGUUGUAAACUUCUUUUAUAUGGGAAUAAAAUGUUCCACGUGUGGGAUUUUGUAUGUACCAUAUGAAUAAGGAUCGGCUAACGCCGUGCCAGCAGCCGCGGUAAUACGGAGGAUCCGAGCGUUAUCCAGAUUUAUUGGGUUUAAAGGGAGCGUAGGUGGAUUGUUAAGUCAGUUGUGAAAUUUUUCGGCUCAACCGUAAAAUUGCAGUUGAAACUGGCUGUCUUGAGUACAGUAGAGGUGGGCGGAAUUCGGGGUGUAGCGGUGAAAUGCUUAGAUAUCACGAAGAACUCCGAUUGCGAAGGCAGCUCACUGGACUGCAACUGACACUGAGGCUCGAAAGUGUGGGUAUCAAACAGGAUUAGAUACCCGUGUAGUC